UACUCCUACGGGAGGCAGCAGUGCGGAAUUUUAGAUAAUGGAGGGAACUCUGAUCUAGCGACGCCGCGUGCAGGAAGAAGGUCUUCGGAUUGUAAACUGCUGUGGUAAGGGAAAAAUGCUAUGUAGAGUGGAAAGCUACAUAGAGGGAUGGUACCUCACUAGAAAGCCCCGGCUAACUACGUGCCAGCAGCCGCGGUAAUA
RNAcentral lists this ribosomal RNA (201 nucleotides) under uncultured Kosmotoga sp. Its description in RNAcentral is "partial 16S ribosomal RNA". It matches the Rfam family "Bacterial small subunit ribosomal RNA", at positions 334 to 525 of the family's 1533-position model. The record is from RNAcentral. Lineage: Bacteria; Thermotogati; Thermotogota; Thermotogae; Kosmotogales; Kosmotogaceae.